RNAcentral lists this small nuclear RNA (124 nucleotides) under Ictidomys tridecemlineatus (thirteen-lined ground squirrel). RNAcentral's name for it is "Spermophilus tridecemlineatus (thirteen-lined ground squirrel) U2 spliceosomal RNA". It matches the Rfam family "U2 spliceosomal RNA", at positions 1 to 121 of the family's 192-position model. Rfam says of the family: U2 is a small nuclear RNA (snRNA) component of the spliceosome (involved in pre-mRNA splicing). Complementary binding between U2 snRNA (in an area lying towards the 5' end but 3' to hairpin I) and the branchpoint sequence (BPS) of the intron results the bulging out of an unpaired adenosine, on the BPS, which initiates a nucleophilic attack at the intronic 5' splice site, thus starting the first of two transesterification reactions that mediate splicing. The record is from Rfam by way of RNAcentral. Lineage: Eukaryota; Metazoa; Chordata; Mammalia; Rodentia; Sciuridae.
AUUACUUCUCAGCCUUUUGGCUAAGAUCAAGUACUUGUAGUACCUGUUCUUAUCAGUUUAAUAUCUGAUACGCCCUCUAUUCGAGGACAAUAUAAUAAAUGGAUAUUUUUUUAAAAAAGGCUCU